RNAcentral lists this long non-coding RNA (1073 nucleotides) under Ananas comosus (pineapple). RNAcentral's name for it is "long non-coding RNA (ACOM_LNC001372)". The record is from RNAcentral. Lineage: Eukaryota; Viridiplantae; Streptophyta; Magnoliopsida; Poales; Bromeliaceae.
AUGUGAUAGAAUAAGGGGCUUGUUAAUAUCGAUAAUACUGUUGUUAUACUAUCGAUAGUAUAAAGCAUUUUAUGCUUUCGAAUUUUUCGUCUUUAAUUAAAUUUAUUUUUUUAAUUAUUUUCAUCCGUUAAAUUAUAUUAAAUAAUCAACAAUCUACUCAAUCUUAGAGGACCACUAUAAUUUUAACUAUACAUUUCUUAAUUGAAAAUUUGAAAAUCUAAUGGCACAAAGCGCUUGGUAUUAUUAAUAAUACAGUAACCUAAUUCUAUAUAUAUAUAUAUAUAUAUAUAUAUAUAUAUAUAUAUAUAUAUAUAUAUAUAUAUUGGAUUGUUAGUGAUUUAUAUGUCUUUAAAAUAUAUAUUUUUUAUAAUAAUAAGUAGAAAUUGAGAAAAUUUAGUAAACCUUGUAUAAUACAUGUGAUGAGUUCGGAAAAUAAGCAAUACAAAUAAAAAAAAAAAAAGUUCGUCUGAGAAUAAACAAGACGUUGAAUUUCUCUUUUUAACGUCAAAGUUUGAUUCGGCUUCUCACCGUAGUAGAAAGCCACAGUUCUGCUAAUUUUUAGCUUGCACGUUUCUUAAAGCGGAACAUAUCCCUUAUAUAGGGAAAAAUAUUUAUUUUUUAAAAAAAAUUAAUUUUAUACAGAUUUCUAUAAACAUAAUGAAUUAUUACAAAUAUAGUUCUAUAAAGUUCAAUUUUUAGAUGUUGUCCGUGCAAAAAACAUGAUAUUUUCAAAUAUGUUUACGCCGUUAGAAUUCGUUAGAAAAAAUUAAUUAACUAUAGAUAAAAUACUUAAUCAUGAUUAGUUAAUAAGGUGAAUUGACCUUUUUACCCCUCUUUACUUAGUAGUUGGGACUUUUGGAAAGGCAUAUUUGUGAUGGCAAAAAGAUCAUUUCACUUAUAAAAUAAAUAAUAUUUUAACGGUAAUAAAUCAUGGGAAUAUAUUUGAAAAUAGUAAAAUUUUUACAGAGACAAUAUAUAAAAGUUAAAUUUUAUAAAAAAUUAUUUAUAAUUUACUAUAUUUACAUGAACCUGCAUAAAAUUAACCCUUUUUUUAAUUUUUUUCUUUUUGUUGU